AGAAGGAAGAGUAUCUUCGAAGAUUAAACUUUCGAUACCCACUCGUCGUUUUCAGUCGACUCGUGAGCGUCGUUCCGAACGUGCACCUGUUUCGAUUAUCUCGUUUACAUUAAAGCUUAUUUUCAUUCUCUCGCGUGACACUUCGAAAAAUCUGAUUUGUCGUUUGCCAAUCGAACUGGGAGAAAGGAAGAAACAUUUGCAAAUAUCAUCGACGGGAUUAACGUUAGAAUCAAUUGGAGUGAAUCAAAUCUGAGAUUAUUGAAGGAAAAUACACGGAGGAAAAAGUUUAUCGAAAAAGACAAAAAGGUCGAAGUUUAUAUUACCAAUUGAAGGAAGAAUAAUCAAAAAUGCAUAUCAGGAUAACAUUGUCACUUCUGGUGCUGUUUUGUGUUCUACUAAGACCGACAGUCAGUAUAAGUCGUCUUCUCGAUCCAAAUUUUAUCUACUUUCCUGAUCAAGCGGAAUACAUCUACAAAGCUGACAAAUGUCCGGAUAAUAUGAUCCUCUGGCCCGGAACCGGUAAAUGUUACAAAGAAGGUGAAAGAGGACCCUGCGAUGUCGGCCGAGUUAUAUUACUCGACAAACGAUUACUCAAACCCUACUGCAAGGAUAUUUUAUAGAAGAAAAUAUUCCUACAAGAAAUGGCUGCACUCGAGGAAAACCCCAAUUAUCGAUUGCUAGUCAGAAAAUUGUCUACGAAAAGUCCCUAGAUGACAAUACUAUUUUUGAUAAAAAUCGUUUCCCUACGUAAACUUUUAAACGAGUUUCUCUUCGUACUCGUAGAGUGACACCACUAAUAUUAAUUCUUCGAUAGCUCUCUUUUAACUUAAAAAUGUGCCAUUAUGUUAUUUAUUUAUUUCUUUUAUUUAAGUGAAUCAAUGAUAAAUUAUUCCAGAUACGAUGUAAAGUAAACCCAUUUAUUAUUUAUUUUUAAUGGAUCUGGUUGUAAUUACGAAUUGAUUUUACACAGUUCUUCGUUGAUUUUUUUAAUUACAAAUGGAUUGAUAGAAGAUUCAAUCGUAUGAAAAGAAAAUGUAAUUACAUUUGAAAAAAUCAGUGAUGUUUAUAAUGUGUUAGGAAGGAUAGCGUAGUUUUAGUAUUAAUCAUCUCAUUAUGAAAACUUGAACACACAUUUGUAUCAUCUUUUGUAAUAUUUAUUAAUAGUUUUCUCUGUCGAUAGUUUUUACUUUUAUUUUUGUUUUUUAUAUUCCAAUUGGACUGAUCGAAGGUUCAAAUCGUAUAAAAAUAAAAUCUAAUUGUAUUUAACAAAAUAUCGGUAAUGUAACGUAACGAGUUAGGAUGGGAUCGCAAAGUUUUAGCAUCCAGUCGUCUCAUUACGAAAACUUCAGCAUCUGUAUCACCUUUUGUAUUGUAAUACACGACAUUUUAAUUAUAGAAGUUGCGAAGCGACUAUAAACGAAUCCGAGCGUUUGUGCAAGUUCUGUGAAUUAAACUGUACUAAUUUUCAUGUAAUUUCAUUUCGGUACGUCACGUCGCCAAAUAAAAUAUCACUUUGUCCUUC
RNAcentral lists this long non-coding RNA (1522 nucleotides) under Polistes fuscatus (common paper wasp). Its description in RNAcentral is "uncharacterized LOC122525625". The record is from RNAcentral. Lineage: Eukaryota; Metazoa; Arthropoda; Insecta; Hymenoptera; Vespidae.